GGAGGGAAAGACAGAGAGCACACAAAAUACAAACCAAUGAAAAACAAGAGGAGGAAAGGAAGAAGGAGAAAAAGGGAGACAACAGGAUGGGGUGGAUAUUGGGCGAGAAGAAUAGAGAGAGAGAGAGAGAGAGAGAGAGAGAGGCUGAGCUGGUGUUCGCUACCUGCUGCUCCUUUAAAUGGGCUCUUCCAGUUGAGCUGGCAGACUGGGAGGAAUGGGGAGGGACGGGCUGGGGGUUUUAGUAUCCAGCUGCCUCCCCGCAACCAAGCAAAGCUUGCCAGAUUAGUGCGCUUACAUAAACGCCAUCCAAGGGGAACACGCACACGUCACACACACACACACACACACACACACACACACACACACACACACACACACACACACACACACACACACACACACACACACACACACACACACACACACACACACACACACACACACACACA
Molecule: long non-coding RNA, 449 nt
Organism: Gadus macrocephalus (Pacific cod)
Lineage: Eukaryota; Metazoa; Chordata; Actinopteri; Gadiformes; Gadidae
Exons: 2
Source: RefSeq, a predicted model, not a curated record